GAAGAGGCCCUUUUAAGGGCCAGAAAAUAAAACAAGAUAAAUGUUU
Non-coding RNA from Stegodyphus mimosarum, 46 nucleotides. The record is from Rfam. Lineage: Eukaryota; Metazoa; Arthropoda; Arachnida; Araneae; Eresidae.